AACGGAAACAUGAACCCAUUUGAAACAACUUGAGACUGAAUGUGUUGCUAACGGCCAGCCUGGAUUUUCAUUCUGUUCUACCACAAUAAUAUCCAAUCUUGUUG
This is a long non-coding RNA of Poecilia latipinna (sailfin molly), 104 nucleotides long. RefSeq lists it as uncharacterized. The transcript has 3 exons. The record is from RefSeq and is a predicted model, not a curated record. Lineage: Eukaryota; Metazoa; Chordata; Actinopteri; Cyprinodontiformes; Poeciliidae.